CAGUAGCCGCGGUAAUACGAAGGGUGCAAGCGUUAAUCGGAAUUACUGGGCGUAAAGCGUGCGUAGGCGGUGAGUUAAGUCUGCUGUGAAAUCCCCGGGCUCAACCUGGGAAUGGCAGUGGAUACUGGCUCGCUAGAGUGUGUCAGAGGAUGGUGGAAUUCCCGGUGUAGCGGUGAAAUGCGUAGAUAUAGGAGGGAACACCAGUGGCGAAGGCGACUACCUGGACUGAUACUGACACUGAGGUGCGAAAGCGUCGGGAGCAAACAGGAUUAGAUACCCCAGUAGUCCCUGUCUCUUAUAC
RNAcentral lists this ribosomal RNA (301 nucleotides) under uncultured bacterium. Its description in RNAcentral is "partial 16S ribosomal RNA". It matches the Rfam family "Bacterial small subunit ribosomal RNA", at positions 509 to 807 of the family's 1533-position model. The record is from RNAcentral.